RNAcentral lists this long non-coding RNA (256 nucleotides) under Elaeis guineensis (African oil palm). RNAcentral describes it as "long non-coding RNA (EGUI_LNC028758)". Lineage: Eukaryota; Viridiplantae; Streptophyta; Magnoliopsida; Arecales; Arecaceae. The record is from RNAcentral.
AAAAGGAAAGUGGAUCUGCAGCUUCCGAUGGAUGGUCAUUUGUUUGUUUGUUUAAUGAUAGUUCACUCUAUGUGCAUAUAGUUCAGUCUAUGUACAUCUCCAGUUCCAAUUGGAACAUAUGGUGAUGAUUAACAGCAGCUACGAUACUAGCUUUGAGCAUACCCCAAUUAAUCCUCUUGUUGAAUUCUUUAGUUUGACAUCUAGCUAGCAUCAUCACUGCGUUCAGCUUUCCGAAGACAUAUACACCAUCACUGUG